Molecule: long non-coding RNA, 1034 nt
Organism: Neofelis nebulosa (Clouded leopard)
Lineage: Eukaryota; Metazoa; Chordata; Mammalia; Carnivora; Felidae
Exons: 3
Source: RefSeq, a predicted model, not a curated record
UAGAGUUAGACUUGGAGUCCAGCCCCUAACCCCUAUGCAAGCCAACCUUCCUCUGUUGGUGCUGAUGAAGGAAACAAAGAGAAAGUGAGGAGGUCUAAGAAGGACUUGGAGGCUGGAGGAGGAAGAACAGGAGUAGGAUGAGGGAGAAGGAGAAGAAAGCAAGUACAAGAACAGGCACAAUAAUGAUGAAAGUGGAUAUUAGCAAAUGCCACCAAGUGCUGUGCUCCUGCAAGGCCUGAUUCCACUUAAUCCCCACCAGAGUCCUUUGAGAUUGGUAUUGCUGUCAUGCUCAUUUUACAGGAGUUCCUGUUGAUCUCCAUGAAAGAAAUAUCAGAAGUCAAUAUUAUCAUGCUUGAGGACCCAGCUCAUGACUGCUGUGUGUGAAGCUGUGAAGAAAAGUUUAGAGUUGGACACUUGUUUAAAGCACCAGGAAGGACCUUGACCCUGACACUGUUGGAACAGGUGAUACAGAAGUUAACUCUAAUACCCUGGACAAAACCCCAAUGUACAGUCAUGUUUAUAAUUUGCUUCCUCUAUCUGUAGGCUAGAAGGAUAAUAACCUACUAUUUUGUAGGCAACUGUUGGAAAGAAUAAGAAGCUCUACAGGAAGGGUUUAAAGAUACUUGGAACUUGGAUACAGUAUUUUAAAAAUACAAUGUACUGACUGUAAUUAUGAGCAUCAUCAGUUGCCUUGGAAAACCUUUAUUGAAACUCCAAGAGAGUUGAACACGGAUACAAUGCCAAAAAUUUAUAGGUAAUUGUGAUUUUCCUCAUCAUGUCUGUGUCUGGAAAUAAAGGCAUAACAAUAGGCUUUCACAGAGGGCAUGAGUACCUACCAUUAUGUUCCAGGCAUGGUGUAAACACAGUUCACGUACUCAAAGAGCUCACAAUACCUCUCUGGUCAAUACAAAAAGCUAACCUGGUCCCUCAAAUUCAUUAGAUUUGUCUGUCUGCAAGGGUCCCCACUUCCUAGGUAAUGGCUGCAUUGUUACUUUGUGUUUUCCAAUAAUAAAAAGCACCAUAUAAUAGACUAA